UCCUGCCCAGUGACAUAGUUCAACGGCCGCGGUAUCCUAACCGUGCAAAGGUAGCAUAAUCACUUGCCCAUUAAUUGUGGGCUAGAAUGAAAGGACCAACGAAAUAAAAUCUGUCUCUAUAAGUAAAAUAAAAAUUAUUCUCUAACUGAAGAGUGUUAGAUAUUAUCGAAGGACAAGAAGACCCUAUAGAGCUUAAUUUUAAUAAAGACUUAAUCUUACUAAAAAUUCGGUUGGGGCGACCAAGGAUGUACAAAUCAUCCCUAAACAAAAGAUAUAUAAAUCUAAAAAUGACCCUUAACAAAGAUCAAAAGAACAAGCUACCUUAGGGAUAACAGGCUAAUCUCACUAAAGAGUCCUUAUCUACAGUGGGGGUUGGCACCUCGAUGUUGGCUUAGGGAAACUAUAGAGCGCAAAAGCCCUAUAAAGAUGGUUUGUUCAACCAAUAAAACCCUACAUGAGCUGAGUUCAGACCGGCGCAAGCCAGGUUAGUUUCUAUCCUCGAUUAAAAAUCUAUCUAUAGUACGAAAGGACCUACAUACGAAUAAAUAUUAUACAAAAAGAAUAAAUAUAAACUUUAAUAAACCUUUAUCAAUAUAUUCUAUA
This 603-nucleotide ribosomal RNA is filed under the name Carpetania elisae. RNAcentral describes it as "Hormogaster elisae partial 16S ribosomal RNA". The stretch from base 1 to 523 matches the Rfam family "Bacterial large subunit ribosomal RNA", at positions 1857 to 2925 of the family's 2925-position model. The record is from RNAcentral. Lineage: Eukaryota; Metazoa; Annelida; Clitellata; Crassiclitellata; Hormogastridae.